This 466-nucleotide ribosomal RNA is filed under the name Vreelandella stevensii. RNAcentral describes it as "partial 16S ribosomal RNA". It matches the Rfam family "Bacterial small subunit ribosomal RNA", at positions 338 to 795 of the family's 1533-position model. Lineage: Bacteria; Pseudomonadati; Pseudomonadota; Gammaproteobacteria; Oceanospirillales; Halomonadaceae. The record is from RNAcentral.
CCUACGGGUGGCUGCAGUGGGGAAUAUUGGACAAUGGGGGGAACCCUGAUCCAGCCAUGCCGCGUGUGUGAAGAAGGCCCUCGGGUUGUAAAGCACUUUCAGUGAGGAAGAACGCCUGGUGGUUAAUACCCAUCAGGAAAGACAUCACUCACAGAAGAAGCACCGGCUCAACUCCGUGCCAGCAGCCGCGGUAAUACGGAGGGUGCGAGCGUUAAUCGGAAUUACUGGGCGUAAAGCGCGCGUAGGUGGCUUGAUAAGCCGGUUGUGAAAGCCCCGGGCUCAACCUGGGAACGGCAUCCGGAACUGUCAAGCUAGAGUGCAGGAGAGGAAGGUAGAAAUCCCGGUGUAGCGGUGAAAUUCGUAGAGAUCGGGAGGAAUACCAGUGGCGAAGGCGGCCUUCUGGACUGACCCUGACACUGAGGUGCGAAAGCGUGGGUAGCAAACAGGAUUAGAUACCCUUGUAGUC